RNAcentral lists this ribosomal RNA (245 nucleotides) under uncultured bacterium. Its description in RNAcentral is "partial 16S ribosomal RNA". It matches the Rfam family "Bacterial small subunit ribosomal RNA", at positions 524 to 768 of the family's 1533-position model. The record is from RNAcentral.
AACGUAGGUGGCGAGCGUUAUCCGGAUUUACUGGGCGUAAAGCGUGUGCAGGCGGUCGUUCAAGUGGUGUAUGAAAUCGCCCGGCUUAACCGGGUGAGGUUAGGCCAGACUGGACGACUGGAGGACGGGAGAGGGGCGUGGAAUUCCGGGUGUAGUGGUGAAAUGCGUAGAGAUCCGGAGGAACCCCAGCGGCGAAGGCGGCGCCCUGGCCCGUUUCUGACGCUCAGACACGACAGCAUGGGGAG